Molecule: ribosomal RNA, 439 nt
Filed under: uncultured bacterium
Lineage: Bacteria
Description: partial 16S ribosomal RNA
Rfam family: Bacterial small subunit ribosomal RNA
Source: RNAcentral
CUACGGGCCGCUGCAGUGGGGAAUCUUAGACAAUGGGGGAAACCCUGAUCUAGCCAUGCCGCGUGAGCGACGACGGCCCUAGGGUUGUAAAGCUCUUUCAGCAGGGAAGAUAAUGACGGUACCUGCAGAAGAAGUCCCGGCUAACUCCGUGCCAGCAGCCGCGGUAAUACGGAGGGGACUAGCGUUGUUCGGAAUUACUGGGCGUAAAGCGCGCGUAGGCGGAUUGGUAAGUCGGGGGUGAAAUCCCGGGGCUCAACCCCGGAACUGCCCUCGAUACUGGCAGUCUUGAGUUCGAGAGAGGUGAGUGGAAUUCCGAGUGUAGAGGUGAAAUUCGUAGAUAUUCGGAGGAACACCAGUGGCGAAGGCGGCUCACUGGCUCGAUACUGACGCUGAGGUGCGAAAGCGUGGGGAGCAAACAGGAUUAGAUACCCCCGUAGUC